UCCGCACCAUGCUGCUGAAGUUGAAGGCGGGACAUGAAGUCAUAAGGCAUGCACAGACAAAGAAAUAUACAAACACCGCUGUCAUCAUGGCAUGCAGCCCAACUUUGUUUCAUUGAUUUCAGCCGGUUGACCUGCCGUCUUUUGCAGCGCGGAGGGUCGGAUAAAAUCCAAAGCUGGUUCUAAUUCAUCCGAUAGAAGUGUGGAGAUAACAAGUUGGAGGAGUGAGACUAAACUUUUAUCCCGAGUCAUGUGUCAGCGGUGUGAGUGGAGAGACAAAGGGGAAGGGAGUUACAACUCGGGAUGUUAAAUGCGUCAAUAAAUUCGGGGAAAGUGGAAUUAAGAGUUGGAAGAAAGCAGGACUUUGACAGAAGACGUGACGUGUUGGUGUGGAGGCUUCGGAAUUGUGACAGAGCCGGGCUGAAUAACGCAAGUAGUGUAAUUGAGCAGCUAUUUAAAGACGGGUUGCUUCCAUCGUAAUGAUAUCAGAGAGAUCUCACUGUGCUUCACACAUUGUCAUGGAGACGGAGGGGCGACUGAAUCACACCAAAUCCUCAUCUCCAACAAGACGCAGAGCUACAUUGGCUGUCCUUUGGAGUCGUGUUUCUUGGCACCUGAGUAACGGAUGGACGGAUGAGACAAUGGGCCCCUGAGCAACAUUUGAAAGGCCCCCCCCAUCGCCCACAAAGGAACCACACACCCAGGUCAUCUGAGUGACUUGGUUCUGGACUUAACAGACUCUCCUCACAGUACUAAAAACCACCAGAGGAGAAACGGCAUCAGGAAAGUCUCAGUAUCCUCAGGAAGAUGCAUCAGGAUGACCAAUGACCUGAGAGCCUACAUUAACAGCUGACACAACUUGACACACUAUAUAAAAAACUUUUUACUCUGGAGGUCAUGGUAUGGACAGUUUACAUAAAAGU
This is a long non-coding RNA of Perca flavescens (yellow perch), 920 nucleotides long. RefSeq lists it as uncharacterized. Lineage: Eukaryota; Metazoa; Chordata; Actinopteri; Perciformes; Percidae. The record is from RefSeq and is a predicted model, not a curated record. The transcript has 6 exons.